RNAcentral lists this ribosomal RNA (97 nucleotides) under Salmonella enterica subsp. enterica serovar Enteritidis. RNAcentral's name for it is "partial 16S ribosomal RNA". The stretch from base 1 to 87 matches the Rfam family "Bacterial small subunit ribosomal RNA", at positions 1447 to 1533 of the family's 1533-position model. Lineage: Bacteria; Pseudomonadati; Pseudomonadota; Gammaproteobacteria; Enterobacterales; Enterobacteriaceae. The record is from RNAcentral.
UGGGAGGUUACCACUUUGUGAUUCAUGACUGGGGUGAAGUCGUAACAAGGUAACCGUAGGGGAACCUGCGGUUGGAUCACCUCCUUACCUUAAAGAA